Molecule: ribosomal RNA, 2287 nt
Filed under: human gut metagenome
Description: bacterial LSU rRNA
Rfam family: Bacterial large subunit ribosomal RNA
Source: RNAcentral
UCAAGCUACUAAGGGCAUACGGUGGAUGCCUAGGCGCCAGGAGCCGAAGAAGGACGCGGUAAGCUGCGAAAAGCCACGGGGAACUGCAAGCGAGUAUUGAUCCGUGGAUAUCCGAAUGGGGAAACCCGGCCAUCGUAAUGGAUGGUCAUCCGCAAGGAAGGGAACCCGGGGAACUGAAACAUCUAAGUACCCGGAGGAAAAGAAAUCAAACGAGAUGCCCACAGUAGCGGCGAGCGAAGAGGGCAGAGCCCAAACCUGUAAGCUACGGCUUAUGGGGGUUGAGGACUGAUGUAAUUAAGGCCAGGCUUAGCUGAACUACCUGGGAAGGUAGGCGAUAGAAGGUAAGAGCCCUGUAAGCGAAAGGCAGAGCCUUAAGGUCAGUAUCCAGAGUACCACGGAGCACGAGGAAUUCUGUGGGAAGCAGGGGGGACCACCCUCCAAGGCUAAAGACUAACUGGCGACCGAUAGCGCAUAGUACCGUGAGGGAAAGGUGAAAAGAACCCCGGGAGGGGAGUGAAAUAGUACCUGAAACCGUAUGUCUACAAGCAGUCGGAGCGAAAGCGACGGCGUGCCUAUUGAAGAAUGAACCAACGAGUUAUCUGCACUAGCGAGGUUAAGUGGAAGACACGGAGCCGUAGCGAAAGCGAGUCUGAAAAGGGCGACGAGUUAGUGUAGGUAGACCCGAAACCGCAGUGAUCUACCCAUGUCCAGGUUGAAGCGCAGGUAAAAAUGCGUGGAGGACCGAACCGGUGAGCGUUGAAAAGCUUUCGGAUGAGAUGUGGGUAGGGGUGAAAUUCCAAUCGAACGCGGAGAUAGCUGGUUCUCCCCGAAAUAGCUUUAGGGCUAGCCUCAGGUAGUAAGUAUAGGCGGUAGAGCACUGAUCGGGCUAGGGGCCAUAAAGGUUACCGAACCCUGUCAAACUCCGAAUGGAUAUACUGCAGAGCCUGGGAGUCAGACUACGAGUGAUAAGAUCCGUGGUCAAAAGGGAAACAGCCCAGACCACCGGCUAAGGUCCCAAAUGCCGUACUAAGUGGAAAAGGAUGUGGGGAUUCAUAAACAACCAGGAUGUUGGCUCAGAAGCAGCCACCAUUUAAAGAGUGCGUAAUAGCUCACUGGUCGAGAGUCCCUGCGCCGAAAAUUUCCGGGGCUAAAGUACGGAACCGAAGCCGUGGCUGUGUACUUAGGUGCACGGGGUAGGGGAGCGUUGCCACAGGGGUGAAGCUGGUCUGGAAGGGCUGGUGGACUUGUGGGAAGUGAGAAUGUUGGUAUGAGUAGCGAAAAGAAAGGUGAGAAUCCUUUCCACCGAAAGCAUAAGGAUUCCUGAGCAACGAUCGUCGUCUCAGGGUAAGUCGGGACCUAAUCCGAGGCAAAGAGCGUAGGAGAUGGACAACAGGUUGAUAUUCCUGUACCGGCAGCAAUUGUUUGAGCGAAGGAGUGACACAGAAGGGCAGGCAGGCGCGAGACUGGAUUGUCGCGUGCAAGCGUGUAGGGUAGUGUACAGGCAAAUCCGUACACUGAGAGCCUGAGGCGUUACGCGGAGCGAGCAGAGAUGCGAGCGAAGCUGCUGAUCCCACACUGUCGAGAAAAGCUUCUAGUGAGAGAGCUGCCGCCCGUACCGUAAACCGACACAGGUAUGCGGGGAGAGAAUCCUAAGGUGCGCGGGAGAACCCUCGUUAAGGAACUCGGCAAAAUGUACCCGUAACUUCGGGAUAAGGGUAGCCGUCUUGGUGAAGGAGCUUGCCUCUGGAGCUGAAGGCGGUCGCAGAGAAGAGGCCCAAGCGACUGUUUACCACAAACACAGGUGCCUGCUAAAGCGAAAGCUGACGUAUAGGUGCUGACACCUGCCCAGUGCUGGAAGGUUAAGGAAGGAUGUCCGGGCAACCAAAGCAUUCGACCGAAGCCCCAGUGAACGGCGGCCGUAACUAUAACGGUCCUAAGGUAGCGAAAUUCCUUGUCGGGUAAGUUCCGACCCGCACGAAAGGUGUAACGAUUUGGGCACUGUCUCAACGAGGGACCCGGUGAAAUUGAAAUACCUGUGAAGAUGCAGGUUACCCGCGACUGGACAGAAAGACCCCAUGGAGCUUUACUGUAACCUGACAUUGGGUUUUGUUGUAUUACGUACAGGAUAGGUGGGAGGCUUGGAAGGCUGGACGCUAGUCUGGCUGGAGCCGGCGUUGGGAUACCACCCUUGAUACAACGGAAUUCUAACCGAGAGAGUAACGAAAUCCGGGACAGUGUCAGGCGGGCAGUUUGACUGGGGCGGUCGCCUCCGAAAGAGUAACGGAGG